GUUGGAAUAUAUGGCUUGUGGGAAUAAGUCGUACAUCGACAAUAUACAAGAAAAUUAAGGGCAUAUAAAUGUUGGUAAAUCAAACCAAACCAAAAUGGCUUAGGUCAUUUUGGUGAUGGGGAGCCCAAUUUCAAGCCCAGUUAAACAUAUAGCCUACCAAUUUGAUGUUCACACUCAUGGGUCCAUAAUUCUCAAUAUGGUAUCAGAGCCUAGAUAAAAUUUUGGAAAUUUUAUUUU
Molecule: unclassified non-coding RNA, 237 nt
Filed under: Hevea brasiliensis (rubber tree)
Lineage: Eukaryota; Viridiplantae; Streptophyta; Magnoliopsida; Malpighiales; Euphorbiaceae
Source: RNAcentral